Molecule: small nuclear RNA, 164 nt
Organism: Vulpes vulpes (red fox)
Lineage: Eukaryota; Metazoa; Chordata; Mammalia; Carnivora; Canidae
Gene: U1
Rfam family: U1 spliceosomal RNA
About the family: U1 is a small nuclear RNA (snRNA) component of the spliceosome (involved in pre-mRNA splicing). Its 5' end forms complementary base pairs with the 5' splice junction, thus defining the 5' donor site of an intron. There are significant differences in sequence and secondary structure between metazoan and yeast U1 snRNAs, the latter being much longer (568 nucleotides as compared to 164 nucleotides in human).
Source: Ensembl
CUACUCACCUGGUAGGGGAGAUACCAUGAUCAUGAAGGUGGUUUUCCUAGGGUGAGCCUUCUUCAUUGUACUCCAAAGGUGCCUAACCCUGCAAUUUCCCCAAAUGUGGAAAACUCAACUGCAUAAUUUGUGCUAGCGGGGGACUGUGUUCGCACUUCCCUUGA